CUCACAUUCACAUGAAUAUACAGGCAGCGUGUGAAUGGAAAAUAGGUAGAUAAGAAAAAUCACGUGAGAAUUAUCAUUAGAAAACGUUAGGGUUCACUCUGAUUUAAUGAAUUCUAGCUUUGUGAAUUGUAGGUUGCUCAACCAAUCUUUUUUUUCUCUGUGAAUGAUACAUGCAUUCUAGGGCUGUGAAGAAAAAGCAUAAAGCGUCUGAAGAGCCUGGUCUCCCGCGACUCUCCAACCAAGGCUGCCUCGCUUUGGACUCCCCCUCUUUUCCAUGAUAAUAACUGCGUAGCCUGCCUGCUCGCUGCUGCUGAAGUAGGAGGACCGCAGUGGCUACCUUAAAACCAGAGCCUUGUUCCUCUGCCAGCGAUUACACUCGCCGGCUCUCCAACAUCAGUCGCACUUCCGGAGAACACUUACACCUCUCAGAGAGAUGGAGGAGGGGUCUCUCGCUGGACCUGGAGUUCAUGGGUGAACCUACGCCGCCGUCUAGCUCAGCAGCUCCUCACCCAUCCCUCCACCCCGAACCCUCGCUGCGCGGCUGCAGACACCACUGCAAAGUCUGGCUUUAUGAGGGUGUUGAAGAUCCCCACUUAGAAUCCAUGCUUGUGCGAGAGACAUUCACCGGCUGGGCCGUCGCCCCAGCUCCCAACCCCAACGCUGGUGCUUUGAAGCUCUUCUAUGCCUGUAAUUGAGCAGUACACUCUCAAAUAAGAAAUGCUCACUAAAGACUUAACGAACGGGAGGAAAUGCAUGCGCUCAGUAAAUCGAAUCACACACGCACCUACAGAUGUUCUUAAAUCUAAGUAAAUCUAGUUGGUUGAGUCUCCCACUUCAUAUCUUUCCUUUUGAUUUGAUUUGAACAGAUUUAUGAAAAGUGAAGCCUCUAGUUUCAAAUCAUAAGGUAUCACUGAUGGAGUGAAAUUUUAUGUGCCAGUCUGAAAACACAAUAGUAGCUAUUAAUUUUUCCACUUAUCAGUAACAAGAACAUGUUAAUGGAAUAACUGCUCAGAUAUGUAAUGUUUGGCUUAAGGUUAUCAAAACAGUUUUCUAUGAAAAAUCGUAUCUGUAGUAAGUACAAAAAUGGACCCAAGGUAUCCGUUGUUUUAGAAUUCCUGUUGCCAUUGUUUGCUCCUUCUGGUGAAAAGCUUUGGAAAUGCAGUGCCUCAUGACUGGGUGUGAAAAUCCUAAUCUAAUCUCGUGUGAAAUCUCUCCCUCAAGGGAGACCAGAGAGAAGGAAGAGGAGAGAAGGGGGAGGGAGAGGGAACCCAAGUAGACUGAGCAAUAAUAUAAUUGUAAGGUCUUUAAAUCCACAAGAACACGGACUAAUGUUAACACAUGCUGUCUAGCAAGUCAUUCGCUGAGCUUGCAAGAGGACCAAGCCCUCAGGAUGGUCAGAGAUGAACUCCACAGUUCACAGACCAGGCCAAGCCGCUGAGGGACUCGCAUGUGUUCUUCGGGAAUUACACGACUACUGUGUACUCAUGCUACCCGAUACCCUAGUUAAUAAAACAUCUGUGAGACGUUAAAUUGA
Molecule: long non-coding RNA, 1534 nt
Organism: Meriones unguiculatus (Mongolian gerbil)
Lineage: Eukaryota; Metazoa; Chordata; Mammalia; Rodentia; Muridae
Exons: 2
Source: RefSeq, a predicted model, not a curated record